GAUGAACGCUGGCGGCGCGCCUAACACAUGCAAGUCGAACGAUUAAAGCACCUUCGGGUGUGUAUAAAGUGGCGAACGGCUGAGUAACACGUGGGCAACCUGCCCCUCUCAUUGGGAUAGCCACGGGAAACCGUGGAUAAUACCGAAUACUUCGGGACUUCCGCAUGGAAGACUCGAGAAAGCUCCGGCGGAGAGGGAUGGGCCCGCGGCCUGUUAGCUUGUUGGUGGGGUAAUGGCCUACCAAGGCAAUGAUGGGUAGCUGGGUUGAGAGACCGACCAGCCAGAUUGGGACUGAGACACGGCCCAGACUCCUACGGGAGGCAGCAGUGGGGAAUCUUGCACAAUGGGCGAAAGACUGAUGCAGCGACGCCGCGUGCGGGAUGAAGGCCUUCGGGUUGUAAACCGCUUUCAGCAGGGACGAGGCGAAAGUGACGGUACCUGCAGAAGAAGCCCCGGCUAACUACGUG
This 467-nucleotide ribosomal RNA is filed under the name uncultured bacterium. Its description in RNAcentral is "partial 16S ribosomal RNA". It matches the Rfam family "Bacterial small subunit ribosomal RNA", at positions 28 to 507 of the family's 1533-position model. The record is from RNAcentral.